UACGGGGGGGGCAAGCGUUGUUCGGAAUUACUGGGCGUAAAGGGCUCGUAGGCGGCCAACUAAGUCAGACGUGAAAUCCCUCGGCUUAACCGGGGAACUGCGUCUGAUACUGGAUGGCUUGAGUUCGGGAGAGGGAUGCGGAAUUCCAGGUGUAGCGGUGAAAUGCGUAGAUAUCUGGAGGAACACCGGUGGCGAAGGCGGCAUCCUGGACCGACACUGACACUGAGGCGCGAAAGCGUGGGGAGCAAACAGG
Molecule: ribosomal RNA, 253 nt
Filed under: uncultured bacterium
Lineage: Bacteria
Description: partial 16S ribosomal RNA
Rfam family: Bacterial small subunit ribosomal RNA
Source: RNAcentral